GAUGAAGAACGCAGCGAAAUGCGAUAAGUAAUGUGAAUUGCAGAAUUCAGUGAAUCAUCGAAUCUUUGAACGCACAUUGCGCCCCCUGGUAUUCCGGGGGGCAUGCCUGUCCGAGCGUCAUUGCAACCCUCAAGCGCGGCUUGUGUGUUGGGCUUCGUCCCCCCGUGGACGUGCCCGAAAGGCAGUGGCGGCGUCCCGAAUGGUGCCCGAGCGUAUGGGAACUCUCUUCCGCUCGAACCGGCCCAUUCGGCGCUGGUCGAACCCCAAUUUUUUUUUACCGGUUGACCUCGGAUCAGGUAGGGAUACCCGCUGAACUUAAGCAUAUCAAUAAGCGGAGGA
RNAcentral lists this unclassified non-coding RNA (339 nucleotides) under soil metagenome. Its description in RNAcentral is "partial contains 5.8S ribosomal RNA, internal transcribed spacer 2, and large subunit ribosomal RNA". The stretch from base 1 to 120 matches the Rfam family "5.8S ribosomal RNA", at positions 35 to 154 of the family's 154-position model. The record is from RNAcentral.